UUAUAUUGGUCAAACCCAAAGCCAAGUUCAUCACUCAAAUUCAAAGCGUAGAACCAUCACUUACCUGAGCCGUGUUCAGAUUUCACUCUGAUUGAACAAUAACUAAUUUCGAAAUCUUGCAGAAAGGAGGACACAUGCGGUUGCAAUAGUCCAUGGACUUUGGGAAACACAUAUUUGACUAUCUUGAUCAAUUAGAUUUUCCCCCUUUUUAUUCAGAAUGUGUAGGAUUUUUUUGCAAUGCAAUUUAUUGGAGAUGGAUAUGCCAUUAAAGAAUGGUGGAUUUAGCCUAGACCAGGGAGGAGGUCAGAGAACUGGCAGUGUGGUGGCAGGACAACAACCUCUCCCUCAAUGUGAGCAAGAAAAAGGAGCUGAUCAUGGACUACAGGAAAAGGCGGGCCGAACAGGCCCCCAUUAACAUCAACGGGACUGUAGUGGAGCGAGUCGAGAGUUUCAAGUUCAUUGGUGUCCACAUCACCAGUGAUCUAUCAUGGUCCAAACACACCAAGACAGUUGUGAAGAGGGCACAACAAAACCUUUUCCCUCUCAGGAGACUGAAAAGAUUUGGCAUGGGUUCCAACAUCCUCAAAAAGUUCUACAGCUGCACCAUCGAGAGCAUCAUGACCGGUUGCGUCACCACCUGGUAUGGUACUGCGUAUGGCCCAGCACAUCACUGGGGCCAAGCUUCCUGCAAUCCAGGACCUAUAUAAUAGUCAGUGUCAAAUGAAAAAGCCCAUAAAAUUGUUAGAGACUCCAAUCACCCAAGUCAUUGACUGUUUUCUCUGCUACCGCACGGCAAGCAGUACCGGAGAGCCAAGUUAGGGCUAUGGGAAAUACUGCCCCCUUUUGGAUGAAUGGUGUGCCCAAAGUAAACUAAAAUAAAAACUGUUCAAAAUUGCUAAUAUAUGCAUAUAAUAAUUAUUAUUGAAUAGAAAACACUCUAAAGCUUCUAAAACCGUUCGAAUUAUGUCUGUAUGUAAAGCAGAACUCACAGGGCAGCCAUUCUUCCAAACUCUGUCUCCCUCCUUAGAAAAUUCCCCCAACUUUGACGUCAUCGCCCCCACCCUUCCCAACCAGCUAUGGCUCUGGGAACAGUUUCUGUCUCUUCGGUGCGCUCCCGUCUUACAGUGAAACGUGCAACGGAGAAAAUGGCACGAGUUUUGACUGCUUGGUGGGCCAAACACUUGGGUGUCACGCGUUUACAGGAGCGCGCUCUGGAAAAACUGACAUUUUUUUCCAAGCUCAUUGAUGUGAGUUCGUUAUGUUUGAUUUAAUCGCCAAUUGUUUUGUACGUUAAAAACAUCCUAAAGAGAUCCUCACUGAACUUCUGGAGAGAGUUUGCUGCACUGAAAGUAAAGGGGCUGAAUAAUUUUGCACGCCCAAUUUUUCAGUGUUUGAUUUGUUAAAAAAGUUUGAAAUAUCCAAUAAAUGUCGUUCCACUUCA
Oncorhynchus masou masou (cherry salmon) is the source of this 1441-nucleotide long non-coding RNA. RefSeq lists it as uncharacterized. Lineage: Eukaryota; Metazoa; Chordata; Actinopteri; Salmoniformes; Salmonidae. The transcript has 2 exons. The record is from RefSeq and is a predicted model, not a curated record.